Molecule: RNA transcript, 3805 nt
Organism: Triticum aestivum (bread wheat)
Lineage: Eukaryota; Viridiplantae; Streptophyta; Magnoliopsida; Poales; Poaceae
Gene name: shaggy-related protein kinase GSK4
Exons: 9
Source: RefSeq, a predicted model, not a curated record
CGAGGGAAAAAAAGGCCACCGAACCGCGCUACGUGUGAGGUGCAGCACACCACGCGAAGAGAAAAGCGACGCGUGGGGUGGAUAGCGCGGUGCGCGGUGAAAACCCUAGCCCAAUCCCUCGCUUCUUCCAGCCCCCAAUCCCUCCACUCAUCGAGCCCCUCGUCCCCUCGUCCAGGCACUCCACCACCCACACCAUGCCACCUCCUCCCCUUCGUGUUUCUCCUCCUCCCAUUUAGGCUCCGUGGUGGCGGCCGACUCGAGGCAGGGGAGCAGCUGAUGCGGCAUCGGCGGCGGCACGAGAGGAGCGGCGGCGGAGGGGAGCUGCGAAGAGGUGCCGCUCGGGCGCGAGACGGCAGAGGCGGGCGCGGCUGCUCUGGUCCCCGAUCUGGGGAGGGUACGAGGCGAAGAAGGGCGCCGCCAUCGUUGUCGCCGUUGCAGACAGUUAGCUAUAUGGCGGAGCGCGUUCUGGGCACUUCAUUUGGCAUCGUCUUUCAGGCUAAAUGCUUGGAAACUAGGGAGACAGUGGCCAUUAAGAAGGUACUGCAGGACCGACCGUACAAGAACCGGGAGCUGCAGCUUAUGCGUUUGAUUAACCAUUUCAAGGUUGUUCUCCCUCAAGUACUGCUUCUUCUCAACCACAAGUAGAGAUGAGCUGUUUCUGAACCUUGUCAUGGAGUAUGUCCUGGAGACAAUCUAUCGCAUGCUUAAGAACUACAGUACUGCCAAACAGGGGAUGUCACUUAUCUAUGUCAAGAUUUACACCUAUCAGGUUUGUGAAUUGCCAGUGAAUAAAUGUGAAAUGUGUGCCUGCCAUUGUGCAACUAUUCUAGAACAUUGGUGGCGGCUAUUCAGGGGGCUCACACACAUUCAUACUGUUUCUGGAGUCUGUCACAAGGAUGUGAAGCCACAAAAUGUUUUGGUAUGUAUUAGUGAAUACUUUCUGUGUGCAUCACUUAUGAAGAGGCCAGGGUCAUCCCCUUUCUGAAGAAAAUGUAUCAGUGAACACUGAACAUAUUUACUCGAUUAUCAUGUAUGGGUUUUCAUGCUUGCUUUUGAACUUGUCUUCACUUGCUUCCUUAUACAGUUGGGCAGGGCCUUUGGAUGGGAAUCAUCUUCAGUAUUCUUGUUCAGGUCUUGCUGUUCGUAGCCAUCACACUGCGCACCAUCAGGCAAAAUAAGGCAACAAAGGCGUACAAGUAUAUCGCAAGGUCAAUGCUAUAUGUGUAUGUAUGUAUGUAUGGAUAUGUGCUACUGAAGUGAGAUUCCGAGAAAAUCCGCAUACAAGUAUAUCGCAAGGUCAAUGCUAUAUAUUCUUAGAUGAAAAUUACACUAGGUUGGCUUUUAAUAUACUUGGAGCAUCGAUACUUCCGGACCAGUGAACCGCCGGACCAAUGCUGGUGCUCAUGGAGUUAGUUAGCAACUUUUUUCUGGUCAGCAAACUCCAACUUUAUUAACCCACUACAGGAGAGCAGAGAUCUAAGAAAGAACAGAAGAAGAAGAAUCCUGCGGAAGAUUUUGGUGAAGAACAAGGUGGAUUAUCUCUCUCUAACAAAGUCACGUUUGUUCCUCAUUUUGAUGUUAUGAUUUAUUUUAUUUUGCUUAUAUUCCAGUGACCUAUUUUCUAUAUAGAAUGCAUCUUUUCUUCGAAAGAGAGAGAGAAUUGGGGGAUAGUGGCAUUGGGACUUAAAUUCGUUGCCUACAACAAAAUAAAUGAUUCCUGUAUGCCUCCCUUUUUGUUUUAGCUCACAUAUUUUUUUAAAGUUUGGUAGAUAUCACAUAAUCAUGGCCGCAACUAAUAUCCAAAAUUCUUAGUGUCAGUACACUAAGAUUUAUCUUAUUUUGGUAUCAAGAACUAUCUAUGCUCAAUAUGGUGUCUGCGGGUAUUCUCGCGCCCGCCUCUUUCCCCUCUCUAUAUGAACCCUAUCAUCAGCUUCAAAAUGUUUCUAGAAAAUUCACACAUAUCGAUGGUUCAUAUUUAUGACUUUGCAAGCUCACAGAAUAAUCAAUCAUUGAUGAGAGUGAUUUUUUUAAUAUUCGGAAGCAUGAGGAAACUUGUUUCAUUUCUGUGGCCUGUGCGACAGAAAAAUAGAGCAGAUGAAGCUGCUUUUUAGCUCGUUCUUGUCGUUUUGGUGCAGAUGGCAAAUCAAAUGAUGUCUCUUCACAAAACAUUGAAGAUACUAGUGCACUCUGAAAUGUACAUGUAAGAUUUGUUUUGAAUUUUCUGAAGCUUCAAACACACACUUAAAAAGGGAGGACAUUGUGUUCGGUAUUAAAAGAAAAUGUCUAUGUUGUAGAGGUUUUACUGGGUAAAUGUAGGUGGAAUAAGGAAUGACUGUAAUGCAUGCACUACAAAAGAUGGGUUCUUACGACUGUCCAACAUGGACAGUUGCACCAGCAAAUAAGUUGUCCGACUCAGUUUUCUCUCCAGUAGAAUCAACCUGUUAUGCAGAAGUGACACCCUGUGAAUUUUUUUCAUUGAAUCCUAUGAUGGUGGUUACAAUUAGAUAUACUCCCUCCGUGCACUUUUAUAAGACGUUUCAGCCAGCUAACAUGAACUGUUUUGGGUGAUGUCUGAAUUGGCUACAACAUCUUAUAAAUGAACUGAGCGACUACCUUUUCCCUGUCUUGGUAAAGGUGCCAGGAAAGUUCUUCUGUAUGAGAUGUAACUUUCUCACUGGUUAAUUUCUAUUCUAGGUGGCAUGCAUAAUCAUGAUUUUCUGUGCAAACUUGUUUCACGGCAACCCCCACAAAAGUAUUUGUAAUUUACUACAUAUGUCUACAGGUGGCAUCAAGCUUCUGUAUUAAAUCUAUUUUUCAUAUCCCAGUUUUUCUUCUUCUCAUGAACAAGUUAUUUACAAACGGGGUCCUUUUCAUUAUUUAAUUUUCUAAUAUAAUUGAGUCCAUCUCCACACAAGUAUUAAUAUUUCAUUUCUCCCCUGUGUCAAUGAAAGGAAGUAGCUCCCUUCCCUUCUACACUUGUUGUGAUGCCUCUCGAUGAGGUAUUCCUGCUGCUGGUUUCCUCUUUCAAAUUCUCUUUCAGUCUUUUAAUUCCUUUGCUGUUUCUUUGGCAGAUGAACACUCCUAUAUCUGCAUUCAAAGGAAAAGGACAGGCUAUUGUGCCUAAAACUCCUAGCAAAUCACCGUGCCCAAAAAGUACUCGCCGCAAACUCUGUCUUGGACCCUCUAAAUCUAAGGACACUGAACUUUCUACCUCUACUACCAAGGUGGCUAGCCAAACUGAAGAGGUUGCCGCUGCCGGAAAUGUUGUUCAGCCUGCACCCAUGCCAGAUGUUGGACAGGAAACUAAAGGUGCAGUUGCUGAGGAUCCAAAGAACACCCUUCCUGACCCCUCUAAGCCCAAGAGAACAACCAAUACCGGCAAGGGGGCUGACAUACCUAAGAAAGCGAAGCAGUAGUUCUUCCAUGGCGUAAUCUAUAUAUGUACAUACGAUUUGAGGAUCCCGAAGACUCGGUCAUCCUUCUAUGAUGGUGAGCCUAUGCCAUGAAAGAUGGACGACAAGCCUACAUCAUCAACAACUCCAUCAUCACCACCUUCGAAGAAGGAGACAUAAACACAUGGGUAUGGUCACUCCCCUUGGCAACUGCCAAGCUUGGGGGAGGUGCCCCGAUAUCGUAUCACCAUCACACUCCUAUCUUUACUGUUUUUCUUAGUUUGAUUCUUUUGGUAAUAUCUUGAUCUAGUAGAAUAAAGUUUUAGUAUGAUCUAGUUUGGAGCUUUGCUUUAUGAUCCUUCUAUGUAAUCGAGUCCGUGAGCUAUAUAUAAUAAAGAUUAGUGUUGAGUCAA